AGUGAGGAAUAUUGGUCAAUGGGCGGAAGCCUGAACCAGCCAUGUCGCGUGCAGGAUGACGGCCCUAUGGGUUGUAAACUGCUUUUUUACGGGAAUAAACCUUUCUACGUGUAGGAAGCUGAAGGUACCGUAUGAAUAAGGAUCGGCUAACUCCGUGCCAGCAGCCGCGGUAAUACGGAGGAUUCGAGCGUUAUCCGGAUUUAUUGGGUUUAAAGGGUCCGUGGGCGGGCGAUUAAGUCAGUGGUGAAAUCUCUCAGCUCAACUGAGAAACUGCCAUUGAUACUGAUUGUCUUGAAUUUGGUUGAGGUAGGCGGAAUACGAUAUGUAGCGGUGAAAUGCAUAGAUAUAUCGUAGAACACCAAUUGCGAAGGCAGCUUACUAAGCCACGAUUGACGCUGAUGGACGAAAGCGUGGGGAGCGAACAGGAUUAGAUACCCUGGUAGUCCACGCCGUAAACGAUGAUCACUCGUUGUGCGCGAUACAUAGUGCGCGACUGAGCGAAAGCAUUAAGUGAUCCACCUGGGGAGUACGUUCGCAAGAAUG
This 543-nucleotide ribosomal RNA is filed under the name uncultured Bacteroidota bacterium. Its description in RNAcentral is "bacterial SSU rRNA". It matches the Rfam family "Bacterial small subunit ribosomal RNA", at positions 353 to 896 of the family's 1533-position model. Lineage: Bacteria; Pseudomonadati; Bacteroidota. The record is from RNAcentral.